Molecule: ribosomal RNA, 479 nt
Filed under: uncultured bacterium
Lineage: Bacteria
Description: partial 16S ribosomal RNA
Rfam family: Bacterial small subunit ribosomal RNA
Source: RNAcentral
GAUGAACGCUCGCGGGAGGCCUAACACAUGCAAGCCGAGCGGUAGAGUUUCUUCGGAAACUUGAGAGCGGCGCACGGGUGCGUAACACGUGUGCAACCUACCUUUAUCUGGGGGAUAGCCUUUCGAAAGGAAGAUUAAUACCCCAUAAUAUAAUGAUUGGCAUCAAUUAUUAUUGAAAACUCCGGUGGAUAGAGAUGGGCACGCGCAAGAUUAGAUAGUUGGUGAGGUAACGGCUCACCAAGUCAAUGAUCUUUAGGGGUCCUGAGAGGGAGAUCCCCCACACUGGUACUGGGACACGGACCAGACUCCUACGGGAGGCAGCAGUGAGGAAGAUUGGACAAUGGGUGAGAGCCUGAUCCAGCCAUCCCGCGUGAAGGAUGACGGUCCUAUGGAUGGUAAACUUCUUUUGUACAGGGAUAAACCUACCCUCGUGAGGGUAGCUGAAGGUACUGUACGAAUAAGCACCGGCUAACUCCGUG